Molecule: ribosomal RNA, 253 nt
Filed under: uncultured bacterium
Lineage: Bacteria
Description: partial 16S ribosomal RNA
Rfam family: Bacterial small subunit ribosomal RNA
Source: RNAcentral
UACAGAGGGUGCAAGCGUUGUUCGGAAUUAUUGGGCGUAAAGGGCGCGUAGGCGGUGCGGUAAGUCACCUGUGAAACCUCUGGGCUUAACUCAAAGCCUGCAGGCGAAACUGCCGUGCUUGAGUGUGGGAGAGGUGCGUGGAAUUCCCGGUGUAGCGGUGAAAUGCGUAGAUAUCAGGAGGAACACCGGUGGCGAAGGCGGGUCUCUGGGCCGAUACUGACGCUGAGGAGCGAAAGCGUGGGGAGCGAACAGG